This 753-nucleotide ribosomal RNA is filed under the name uncultured bacterium. RNAcentral's name for it is "bacterial SSU rRNA". It matches the Rfam family "Bacterial small subunit ribosomal RNA", at positions 765 to 1515 of the family's 1533-position model. The record is from RNAcentral.
GCCCUUAACAGGAUUAGAUACCCUGGUAGUCCACGCCGUAAACGAUGCCGACUAGCCGUUGGGACCCUUCGGGGUUUUAGUGGCGCAGCUAACGCGAUAAGUCGGCCGCCUGGGGAGUACGGCCGCAAGGUUAAAACUCAAAUGAAUUGACGGGGGCCCGCACAAGCGGUGGAGCAUGUGGUUUAAUUCGAUGCAACGCGAAGAACCUUACCUACCCUUGACAUCCUCAGAAUUUGUCAGAGAUGACUUAGUGCCUUCGGGAACUGAGAGACAGGUGCUGCAUGGCUGUCGUCAGCUCGUGUUGUGAAAUGUUGGGUUAAGUCCCGUAACGAGCGCAACCCUCGCCCCUAGUUGCCAGCGCGUCAUGGCGGGAACUCUAGGGGGACUGCCGGUUAUAAUCCGGAGGAAGGUGGGGACGACGUCAAGUCAUCAUGGCCCUUAUGGGUAGGGCUACACACGUGCUACAAUGGCCGGUACAGAGGGCGGCGAACUGGUAACAGCAAGCUAAUCCCACAAAGCCGGUCCCAGUCCGGAUUGGGGUCUGCAACUCGACCCCAUGAAGUCGGAAUCGCUAGUAAUCGCGGAUCAGAAUGCCGCGGUGAAUACGUUCCCGGGCCUUGUACACACCGCCCGUCACACCAUGGGAGUGGGCUGCUCCAGAAGCAGGUUGCCUAACCUUUUUAGAGGGCGCUUGCCACGGAGUGGUCCAUGACUGGGGUGAAGUCGUAACAAGGUAACCAAGGGCAAUUCCAG